GAGGCAGCAGUAGGGAAUCUUCGGCAAUGGACGAAAGUCUGACCGAGCAACGCCGCGUGAGUGAAGAAGGUUUUCGGAUCGUAAAACUCUGUUGUUAGAGAAGAACAAGGAUGAGAGUAACUGUUCAUCCCUUGACGGUAUCUAACCAGAAAGCCACGGCUAACUACGUGCCAGCAGCCGCGGUAAUACGUAGGUGGCAAGCGUUGUCCGGAUUUAUUGGGCGUAAAGCGAGCGCAGGCGGUUUCUUAAGUCUGAUGUGAAAGCCCCCGGCUCAACCGGGGAGGGUCAUUGGAAACUGGGAGACUUGAGUGCAGAAGAGGAGAGUGGAAUUCCAUGUGUAGCGGUGAAAUGCGUAGAUAUAUGGAGGAACACCAGUGGCGAAGGCGGCUCUCUGGUCUGUAACUGACGCUGAGGCUCGAAAGCGUGGGGAGCAAACAGGAUUAGAUACCCUGGUAGUCCACGCGGU
RNAcentral lists this ribosomal RNA (466 nucleotides) under uncultured bacterium. Its description in RNAcentral is "bacterial SSU rRNA". It matches the Rfam family "Bacterial small subunit ribosomal RNA", at positions 345 to 803 of the family's 1533-position model. The record is from RNAcentral.